This 253-nucleotide ribosomal RNA is filed under the name uncultured bacterium. RNAcentral describes it as "partial 16S ribosomal RNA". It matches the Rfam family "Bacterial small subunit ribosomal RNA", at positions 524 to 776 of the family's 1533-position model. The record is from RNAcentral.
UACGUAGGGUGCAAGCGUUAAUCGGAAUUACUGGGCGUAAAGCGUGCGCAGGCGGUUGUGCAAGACAGAUGUGAAAUCCCCGGGCUUAACCUGGGAACUGCAUUUGUGACUGCAAGACUAGAGUGUGUCAGAGGGGGGUGGAAUUCCACGUGUAGCAGUGAAAUGCGUAGAGAUGUGGAGGAACACCGAUGGCGAAGGCAGCCCCCUGGGAUAACACUGACGCUCAGGCACGAAAGCGUGGGGAGCAAACAGG